AUGGCGACCGGCGCACGGGUGAGUAACGCGUAUCCAACCUGCCCUUUACUAUGGGACAGCCCGUCGAAAGGCGGAUUAAUACCGUAUGUUGUCAUGUUGAUGCAUAUUUUCAUGACCAAAGGCUUCGGCCGGUAAAGGAUGGGGAUGCGUCUGAUUAGCUUGCCGGCGGGGUAACGGCCCACCGGGGCGACGAUCAGUAGGGGUUCUGAGAGGAAGGUCCCCCACAUUGGAACUGUGACACGGUCCAAACUCCUACGGAAGGCAGCAG
RNAcentral lists this ribosomal RNA (268 nucleotides) under uncultured bacterium. RNAcentral's name for it is "partial 16S ribosomal RNA". It matches the Rfam family "Bacterial small subunit ribosomal RNA", at positions 88 to 354 of the family's 1533-position model. The record is from RNAcentral.